UAUGACAUUUUAUGACCGUUCAGCUGUGUCAGCAAACAAUUAGCUGAGCCUCCUACCAUGGAGGAAGAAAAAAAGAUUUUCCAGUUUCUUCCGCCCAGAAAAUUUCACACAAAUCCUUCCCAGUUCCAAGAUCAAGAAAGUCAGAACCCCAGAGGAAGAUGCCCAUUGUGGAAGAGGCUCUUUGUAUGAACUGCAAAAACCCAAGCAAGCUCUCUGCCAUUUUCCUUAUUGGUCUCCUACCCACUUACUGUGCAGGCAGAUAUAUAUGCCGCCUAAUGAGAACUGACAUUUCUUAUGCUGCAUCUUACAGCUUCUGCCCCAACUUAAUACUUUGCAGGUGUUACCUUAUUACAAAGUAAGCUUUGAGGCAAUAAGCUUUGAGAAAACUUAGUGGUUAUUAUGAAAGGAAAAGAUGAUUUGCGUUGUAAAGCAGUGUACCUUUACAGUCAUCAAGUCUUUAUCACAGGACCGACAUUUGGAAAAUACUGGUGCUGCCAACUGCAGGCAAAGUCCUUCCCCAGAGCUCCAGAUGAAGCUCAUUGUCAUUGUGGAACAGACUUUUCCUAGGGAAAAUUGUAAAGUUGAAAGUCAGGAUUGUACAGUGGAGAAGCAUUGGAAUGGAAAAGUAGACAAGAUUUGGGUCUGAGUCCAGCCCUAAUCCUUCCUAGUGACAUGAGGUAAGUCUUUACCUUAAUCUCUCUGGGCAUCAAAUUAUUCAUCUAUAAACAGAAGAUUUUUUAGAAGA
Molecule: long non-coding RNA, 745 nt
Filed under: Monodelphis domestica (gray short-tailed opossum)
Lineage: Eukaryota; Metazoa; Chordata; Mammalia; Didelphimorphia; Didelphidae
Description: lncRNA (ENSMODG00000036733.1)
Source: RNAcentral